AGGGUUUGAUCAUGGCUCAGGACGAACGCUGGCGGCGUGCCUAAUACAUGCAAGUCGAACGAACCGCGACCGAGUGCUUGCACUUGGUCAAGGUGAGUGGCGAACGGGUGAGUAACACGUGGGUAACCUACCUCAUAGUGGGGGAUAACAGUCGGAAACGACUGCUAAUACCGCAUAGGACAUGGGAUCACAUGAUUCUGUGAGGAAAGGUGGCGCAAGCUAUCGCUAAGAGAUGGACCCGCGGUGCAUUAGCUAGUUGGUAGGGUAACGGCCUACCAAGGCAAUGAUGCAUAGCCGACCUGAGAGGGUGAUCGGCCACAUUGGGACUGAGACACGGCCCAAACUCCUACGGGAGGCAGCAGUAGGGAAUCUUCCGCAAUGGACGCAAGUCUGACGGAGCAACGCCGCGUGAGUGAAGAAGGUCUUCGGAUCGUAAAGCUCUGUUGUUAGAGAAGAACAGCGCAUAGAGUAACUGUUAUGNGUGUGACGGUUAUCCUAACCAGAAAGCCACGGCUAACUACGUGCCAGC
Molecule: ribosomal RNA, 529 nt
Filed under: uncultured Bacillota bacterium
Lineage: Bacteria; Bacillati; Bacillota
Description: bacterial SSU rRNA
Rfam family: Bacterial small subunit ribosomal RNA
Source: RNAcentral